Molecule: ribosomal RNA, 745 nt
Filed under: uncultured Neolyngbya sp.
Lineage: Bacteria; Bacillati; Cyanobacteriota; Cyanophyceae; Oscillatoriales; Sirenicapillariaceae
Description: bacterial SSU rRNA
Rfam family: Bacterial small subunit ribosomal RNA
Source: RNAcentral
GAACCUGCCCCUAGGACGGGGACAACAGAAGGAAACUUCUGCUAAUCCCGGAUGAGCCGAAAGGUUAAAGAUUUAUCGCCUAGGGAUGAGCUCGCGUCUGAUUAGCUAGUUGGUGGGGUAAAAGCUCACCAAGGCGACGAUCAGUAGCUGGUCUGAGAGGAUGAUCAGCCACACUGGGACUGAGACACGGCCCAGACUCCUACGGGAGGCAGCAGUGGGGAAUUUUCCGCAAUGGGCGCAAGCCUGACGGAGCAAGACCGCGUGGGGGAGGAAAGCCUUUGGGUUGUAAACCCCUUUUCUCAGGGAAGAAGAAAGUGACGGUACCUGAGGAAUCAGCCUCGGCUAACUCCGUGCCAGCAGCCGCGGUAAUACGGAGGAGGCAAGCGUUAUCCGGAAUGAUUGGGCGUAAAGCGUCCGUAGGUGGCUAAUCAAGUCUGCUGUUAAAUCCAGUAGCUUAACUACUGAUCGGCAGUGGAAACUGAUGAGCUAGAGUGCGGUAGGGGCAGAGGGAAUUCCCGGUGUAGCGGUGAAAUGCGUAGAGAUCGGGAAGAACACCGGUGGCGAAGGCGCUCUGCUGGACCGCAACUGACACUCAGGGACGAAAGCUAGGGGAGCGAAUGGGAUUAGAUACCCCAGUAGUCCUAGCUGUAAACGAUGGAGACUAGGUGUUGCCUGUAUCGACCCGGGCAGUGCCGUAGCUAACGCGUUAAGUCUCCCGCCUGGGGAGUACGCACGCAAGUGUGAA